Molecule: ribosomal RNA, 245 nt
Filed under: Enterobacter asburiae
Lineage: Bacteria; Pseudomonadati; Pseudomonadota; Gammaproteobacteria; Enterobacterales; Enterobacteriaceae
Description: partial 16S ribosomal RNA
Rfam family: Bacterial small subunit ribosomal RNA
Source: RNAcentral
ACGGGAGGCAGCAGUGGGGAAUAUUGCACAAUGGGCGCAAGCCUGAUGCAGCCAUGCCGCGUGUAUGAAGAAGGCCUUCGGGUUGUAAAGUACUUUCAGCGGGGAGGAAGGCGUUGAGGUUAAUAACCUCAGCGAUUGACGUUACCCGCAGAAGAAGCACCGGCUAACUCCGUGCCAGCAGCCGCGGUAAUACGGAGGGUGCAAGCGUUAAUCGGAAUUACUGGGCGUAAAGCGCACGCAGGCGG